UACGUAAGUGGCGAGCGUUGUCCGGAAUUACUGGGUGUAAAGGGAGCGUAGGCGGGAGUGCAAGUUGAAUGUUAAAUCUAUCGGCUCAACCGAUAGCCGCGUUCAAAACUGCAUUUCUUGAGUGAAGUAGAGGUUGGCGGAAUUCCUAGUGUAGCGGUGAAAUGCGUAGAUAUUAGGAGGAACACCAGUGGCGAAGGCGGCCAACUGGGCUUUACUGACGCUGAGGCUCGAAAGUGUGGGGAGCAAACAGGAUUAGAUACCCCUGUAGUCCCUGA
RNAcentral lists this ribosomal RNA (275 nucleotides) under uncultured prokaryote. RNAcentral's name for it is "partial 16S ribosomal RNA". It matches the Rfam family "Bacterial small subunit ribosomal RNA", at positions 524 to 800 of the family's 1533-position model. The record is from RNAcentral.